AUUGAACGCUGGCGGCAGGCUUAACACAUGCAAGUCGAGCGGGGUGAUGGUGCUUGCACUAUCACUUAGCGGCGGACGGGUGAGUAAUGCUUAGGAAUCUGCCUAUUAGUGGGGGACAACAUCUCGAAAGGGAUGCUAAUACCGCAUACGUCCUACGGGAGAAAUCAGGGGAUCACUUGUGACCUUGCGCUAAUAGAUGAGCCUAAGUCGGAUUAGCUAGUUGGGGGGGUAAAGGCCUACCAAGGCCACGGUCUGUAGCGGGUCUGAGAGGAUGAUCCGCCACACUGGGACUGAGACACGGCCCAGACGCCUACGGGAGGCAGCAGUGGGGAAUAUUGGACAAUGGGGGGAACCCUGAUCCAGCCAUGCCGGGUGUGUGAAGAAGGCCUUAUGGUUGUAAAGCACUUUAAGCGAGGAGGAGGCUCUUUUGGUUAAUACCCAAGAUGAGUGGACGUUACUCGCAGAAUAAGCACCGGCUAACUCUGUGCCAGCCGCCGCGGUAA
RNAcentral lists this ribosomal RNA (503 nucleotides) under uncultured bacterium. RNAcentral's name for it is "partial 16S ribosomal RNA". It matches the Rfam family "Bacterial small subunit ribosomal RNA", at positions 30 to 523 of the family's 1533-position model. The record is from RNAcentral.